UUUUGGUGUACAAGUUUGUCUUGACUUUCUUCCUCGAUGGCUCUGAAGCAAGCUGACAUGUUGUGAACAGCCCUAUGGAGAGGCCCACAUGGCACAGAACUGAAGGCAGGCUUUGGCCAAUAACCAGCAAGAAACUGAGCCCUUACUCCAGCAGCCCACAAGGAACUGAAUCCUGCCGACGGCCACGUGAACUUGGAAGUGAAUCCUUUUCUAGCUGGGCUUUUAUGUUAGACUCCAGCCUUUGCCAACACUUUGAUUGCAGCCUCUUGAGAGAGCCUUAAGUGGAGGCCCCAGAGAUUCUCCAGUUGCAGGCAGUUGUGAAAAUCAGACCACCCUAUUUGCAAUAUCCCAUUGAAUGACAGAUCCAAACUCUGCAAUGACUUCAGUUUCCACAGUCCUGUUAAAAUGAAAAAGUUCUAGAACUUAGUUGGUUAAUGUGAGGCUGCUACAUUUGGUCUAUCAACCUAACUGGAAUCCCAACAAGAUGUUGUUCCUGCUGCAUUUCCAGUUACUCUGUGAGCACUCCAAAAAUACUGCUUGAUGAAGCUGUCCCUUGAACCUGAAAACAAAUGUGGAAUUCUUAUGAACAUGAAACAACUCCACGUAAGCAUUGUUUCUCUGCCUAGUUAAAAUUGUACUCACCCUUGGGAGUGUCACUGAGUUUAUUUCUUUGAAGAAUGAGC
This 683-nucleotide long non-coding RNA is filed under the name Homo sapiens (human). RNAcentral describes it as "HSALNT0072163". Lineage: Eukaryota; Metazoa; Chordata; Mammalia; Primates; Hominidae. The record is from RNAcentral.